This 74-nucleotide transfer RNA is filed under the name Accipiter badius poliopsis. RNAcentral's name for it is "tRNA-Trp". It matches the Rfam family "tRNA". From Rfam's summary of the family: Transfer RNA (tRNA) molecules are approximately 80 nucleotides in length. Their secondary structure includes four short double-helical elements and three loops (D, anti-codon, and T loops). The record is from RNAcentral. Lineage: Eukaryota; Metazoa; Chordata; Aves; Accipitriformes; Accipitridae.
AGAAACUUAGGAUAAUUGCCAUAAACCGAAGGCCUUCAAAGCCUUAAAUAAGAGUUAAACCCUCUUAGUUUCUG